Molecule: transfer RNA, 77 nt
Filed under: Heritiera fomes
Lineage: Eukaryota; Viridiplantae; Streptophyta; Magnoliopsida; Malvales; Malvaceae
Description: tRNA-Val
Source: RNAcentral
AAUCAGUUCGAUCUGUUUUACCGAGAAGGUCUACGGUUCGAGUCCGUAUAGCCCUAACAUUCAUAGGAGUUCGUCUA